UACAGAGGGUGCGAGCGUUAAUCGGAGUUACUGGGCGUAAAGGGCGCGUAGGCGGUUAUUUAAGUGAGAUGUGAAAUCCCUGGGCUUAACCUAGGAACUGCAUCUCAUACUGGAUAGCUAGAGUAUUGUAGAGGGUAGUGGAAUUUCCGGUGUAGCGGUGAAAUGCGUAGAGAUCGGAAGGAACACCAGUGGCGAAGGCGGCUACCUGGACAAAUACUGACGCUGAGGCGCGAAAGCAAGGGGAGCAAACAGG
Molecule: ribosomal RNA, 253 nt
Filed under: uncultured bacterium
Lineage: Bacteria
Description: partial 16S ribosomal RNA
Rfam family: Bacterial small subunit ribosomal RNA
Source: RNAcentral